This 999-nucleotide ribosomal RNA is filed under the name uncultured Gammaproteobacteria bacterium. RNAcentral's name for it is "bacterial SSU rRNA". It matches the Rfam family "Bacterial small subunit ribosomal RNA", at positions 8 to 1002 of the family's 1533-position model. The record is from RNAcentral. Lineage: Bacteria; Pseudomonadati; Pseudomonadota; Gammaproteobacteria.
AGAGUUUGAUCCUGGCUCAGAUUGAACGCUGGCGGUAGGCUUAACACAUGCAAGUCGUGCGAGAAAGUACCUUCGGGUGCGAGUAGAGCGGCGGACGGGUGAGUAACGCGUAGGAAUCUACCUAGUAGAAGGGGAUAGCCCGGGGAAACUCGGAUUAAUACCGUAUACCUCCUUAGGGAGAAAGAGGGCUUAGCUUUGAUGCUCUCGCUAUUAGAUGAGCCUGCGUAAGAUUAGCUUGUUGGUGAGGUAAUGGCUCACCAAGGCGACGAUCUUUAGCUGGUCUGAGAGGACGAUCAGCCACAUUGGGACUGAGACACGGCCCAGACUCCUACGGGAGGCAGCAGUGGGGAAUAUUGGACAAUGGGCGCAAGCCUGAUCCAGCCACACCGCGUGUGUGAAGAAGGCUUUCGGGUUGUAAAGCACUUUAAGUAAGGAGGAAAAGAUUGUAGUUAAUACCUUCAGUCCGUGACGUUACUUACAGAAUAAGGACCGGCUAAUUCCGUGCCAGCAGCCGCGGUAAUACGGAAGGUCCAAGCGUUAAUCGGAAUUACUGGGCGUAAAGCGCGCGUAGGUGGUUUUUUAAGUUGGAUGUGAAAGCCCUGGGCUCAACCUAGGAACUGCAUCCAAAACUAGAUGACUAGAGUACGAAAGAGGGAAGUAGAAUUCACAGUGUAGCGGUGGAAUGCGUAGAUAUUGUGAAGAAUACCAAUGGCGAAGGCAGCUUCCUGGUUCUGUACUGACACUGAGGUGCGAAAGCGUGGGUAGCGAACAGGAUUAGAUACCCUGGUAGUCCACGCCGUAAACGAUGACAACUAGCUGUUGGGAGACAAGAUCUCUCAGUGGCGCAGCUAACGCUUUAAGUUGUCCGCCUGGGGAGUACGGCCGCAAGGUUAAAACUCAAAUGAAUUGACGGGGACCCGCACAAGCGGUGGAGCAUGUGGUUUAAUUCGAUGCAACGCGAAAAACCUUACCUACUCUUGACAUACUUGGAAGCUCUUG